This is a non-coding RNA of Pelobates cultripes (western spadefoot toad), 215 nucleotides long. NCBI's taxonomy places the organism in Eukaryota, Metazoa, Chordata, Amphibia, Anura, Pelobatidae. The record is from the annotation of a GenBank genome assembly.
CCGACAACCACAUUGCCAGACCGUGACUCUGGAAGGGAAAGAGGUACAGGGGCUACGUGAUUCCGGCGCUACCUUAUCUUUGGUUGCACCGCAUUUGGUGUCAGGAUCAGCACAUACCGGGGGAUCGGUAGCAGUCCGGGUAGCAGGGGGUGCCAUGUACCGGCUACCAACUGCCAAGGUACAUCUGAAUUGGGGUGCGGGGGAAGGUAUGGUGG